RNAcentral lists this ribosomal RNA (309 nucleotides) under Salmonella enterica subsp. enterica serovar Potsdam. RNAcentral describes it as "partial 23S ribosomal RNA". It matches the Rfam family "Bacterial large subunit ribosomal RNA", at positions 161 to 508 of the family's 2925-position model. RNAcentral also lists the same sequence under 6 other names. The record is from RNAcentral. Lineage: Bacteria; Pseudomonadati; Pseudomonadota; Gammaproteobacteria; Enterobacterales; Enterobacteriaceae.
AAUCCAUAGGUUAAUGAGGCGAACCGGGGGAACUGAAACAUCUAAGUACCCCGAGGAAAAGAAAUCAACCGAGAUUCCCCCAGUAGCGGCGAGCGAACGGGGAGGAGCCCAGAGCCUGAAUCAGCAUGUGUGUUAGUGGAAGCGUCUGGAAAGGCGCGCGAUACAGGGUGACAGCCCCGUACACAAAAGCGCAUGUGCUGUGAGCUCGAUGAGUAGGGCGGGACACGUGGUAUCCUGUCUGAAUAUGGGGGGACCAUCCUCCAAGGCUAAAUACUCCUGACUGACCGAUAGUGAACCAGUACCGUGAGG